This 650-nucleotide ribosomal RNA is filed under the name uncultured bacterium. RNAcentral's name for it is "bacterial SSU rRNA". It matches the Rfam family "Bacterial small subunit ribosomal RNA", at positions 65 to 710 of the family's 1533-position model. The record is from RNAcentral.
GGAGGUCGGAGAGCUUGCUCUUUGCCGACGAGCGGCGGACGGGUGCGUAACACGUAGGAAUCUGCCUGGUAGUGGGGGAUAGCCCGGAGAAAUCCGGAUUAAUACCGCAUACGCCCUACGGGGGAAAGCAGGGGAUCUUCGGACCUUGCGCUAUCAGAUGAGCCUGCGUCGGAUUAGCUGGUUGGUGGGGUAAAGGCCUACCAAGGCGACGAUCCGUAGCUGGUCUGAGAGGAUGAUCAGCCACACUGGGACUGAGACACGGCCCAGACUCCUACGGGAGGCAGCAGUGGGGAAUAUUGCACAAUGGGCGAAAGCCUGAUGCAGCCAUGCCGCGUGUGUGAAGAAGGCCCUAGGGUUGUAAAGCACUUUCAGUGGGGAGGAAAGGUUGAAGGUUAAUACCCUUCAGCUGUGACGUUACCCACAGAAGAAGCACCGGCUAACUCCGUGCCAGCGGCCGCGGUAAUACGGAGGGUGCGAGCGUUAAUCGGAAUUACUGGGCGUAAAGCGUGCGUAGGCGGCUACCUAAGUUGGAUGUGAAAGCCCCGGGCUCAACCUGGGAACUGCAUCCAAAACUGGGUGGCUGGAGUACGGGAGAGGAGUGUGGAAUUUCCUGUGUAGCGGUGAAAUGCGUAGAUAUAGGAAGGAACACC